Molecule: non-coding RNA, 852 nt
Organism: Coffea arabica (coffee)
Lineage: Eukaryota; Viridiplantae; Streptophyta; Magnoliopsida; Gentianales; Rubiaceae
Source: RefSeq, a predicted model, not a curated record
AUCAAUUUUUCCCUCCUCUUUCAUGUCUUUUUCAGAAACAGCGAGAAAGGGAAGUUCAAUAUUUCGUCCCGACUAUCUAUGCGAAUUUGUGGAAUACAGAUAUGUCUUUUAGAGAAAUGGUUGCAAUGUGCUUGGUCAAAGACUUAAAAAAGAGGAAUCGUGCGAAAAAACUCUCUGCUGACUUACCUCCGUUGUGGAAUCGUGUCAAGGCAAAUUUGAGUCUUAAGGAUGCUGCAGAACUAGCUUUGAAGAAAAUGCCUUCAGCUGAAUAGGAAGCAUUGUCACAGUUCUAUGUUUAGCUUCUUUGUUACAUGUGUUGUGCUGCUUUGGUUUCUUGCUCUUCACAUUAUCCUCAGCCUCCUCUUGCCUACUGCUACUGUUCCUUCAAAAAACAGGUAUUCGUUCUUUACCUCCUUUUUUUCUUUCUUAUUUUUUCUCCGGUGACAUGUUAUAGCUGUGAUAGUUGAUGUGAAACAUUUUUUCUGAUUCUCUUUUAUCCUGCAUGCUACUUCAUGUUUAUCCUACAGGGUGGUUUACAUGUCUUGCAUUUCAAUUUUUUCCUGCUUCCUAAGAUUUGGUGGAACUACAUAUAUGGGCAAACAUAGAGAAUGGAAAGAAAUGAACUUUAUCUGUGAUGCCUUCUUCAGAUGAAGAUGCGUCAGAAAAAUUCUGAAUUGAGAAGACAUGACUAUAGAGUUCCAGAAAGAAAACAAUAUCGCGCUAACCACAGUUUAAAUGAUAAAAUUAGUGAAACUGAUUCCUGUAUACAACAAGGGAAUAUGCUUAUUAUACACUAAGGGAAAAGUUGUUUUAAAUCUUGAUUCAGUUCACAAUAAGGGAAAGCUGCAGACA